This 433-nucleotide ribosomal RNA is filed under the name uncultured bacterium. RNAcentral describes it as "bacterial SSU rRNA". It matches the Rfam family "Bacterial small subunit ribosomal RNA", at positions 355 to 796 of the family's 1533-position model. The record is from RNAcentral.
UCGAGGAUCUUCGGCAAUGGGCGCAAGCCUGACCGAGCGACGCCGCGUGUGCGAUGAAGGCCUUCGGGUUGUAAAGCACUGUCGGGGGGGAGAAAAGCCGCAAGGCUUGAUCGACCCCCGGAGGAAGCACGGGCUAAGUUCGUGCCAGCAGCCGCGGUAAGACGAACCGUGCGAACGUUGUUCGGAAUCACUGGGCUUAAAGGGCGCGUAGGCGGGCCCGCAAGUCAGGGGUGAAAGCCCACGGCUCAACCGUGGAAGAGCCUUUGAUACUGCGGAUCUCGAGGGAGGUAGGGGCGUGCGGAACUUCCGGUGGAGCGGUGAAAUGCGUAGAUAUCGGAAGGAACAUCGGUGGCGAAAGCGGCGCGCUGGACCUCUUCUGACGCUGAGGCGCGAAAGCCAGGGGAGCAAACGGGAUUAGAUACCCGUGUAGUCC